GACGAACGCUGGCGGCGUGCUUAACACAUGCAAGUCGAACGGUAUGGCCCUGCUUUUGUUGGGUGCUCGAGUGGCAAACGGGUGAGUAACACGUUAGUAACCUGCCCUUGACUUUGGGAUAACUUCAUGAAACUGGGGCUAAUACCCGAUACGCGCUCCUGCUGCAUGUUGGGGGUUGGAAAGUUUCGGCGGUUGGGGAUGGACUCGCGGCUUAUCUGCUUGUUGGUGGGGUAGUGGCUUACCAAGGCUUUGACGGGUAGCGGGACUGAGAGGGUGACCGGGAACAUGGGGACUGAGAUACGGCCGAGAGUAGUACGGGAGGCAGCAGUGGGGAAUAUUGCACAAUGGGCGGAAGCCGGAUGCAGGAACGACGCGUGCGGGAUGAAGGACUUCGGGGUGUAAACAGAUGUGGAAUGUGAGGAAGCGUGAGUGACGGUAAUGGGUAAAGAAGCACCGGCUAACUACGUG
RNAcentral lists this ribosomal RNA (468 nucleotides) under uncultured bacterium. RNAcentral's name for it is "partial 16S ribosomal RNA". It matches the Rfam family "Bacterial small subunit ribosomal RNA", at positions 28 to 507 of the family's 1533-position model. The record is from RNAcentral.